This 346-nucleotide ribosomal RNA is filed under the name Dolichomastix tenuilepis. Its description in RNAcentral is "partial Bacterial large subunit ribosomal RNA". It matches the Rfam family "Bacterial large subunit ribosomal RNA", at positions 23 to 421 of the family's 2925-position model. Lineage: Eukaryota; Viridiplantae; Chlorophyta; Mamiellophyceae; Dolichomastigales; Dolichomastigaceae. The record is from RNAcentral.
GGUGGAUGCCUUGGCAGUCAGAGGCGAUGAAAGACGUGGUAGCCUGCGAAAAGCUUCGGGGAGUCGGCAAACAGACUUUGAUCCGGAGAUGUCUGAAUGGGGGAACCCAGCCAUCAUAAGAUGGUUAUCUUGUACUGAAUACAUAGGUGCAAGAGGCGAACCAGGGGAACUGAAACAUCUAAGUACCCGAAGGAAAAGAAAUCAACCGAGAUUCCCUCAGUAGCGGCGAGCGAACGGGGACCAGCCCUUAAGCUGGACAACUGGUAGGAGAAGGCCCUGGAAAGAGCCGCCAUAGUGGGUGAUAGCCCCGUAUCCGUAAAAUGAAGACCUUUUAGAGUAGGGCGGG